GUAUUUACCAGGCAGGGAAGAUGCCAUGAUCAGGGCGGUGUUCCCACAGCAAGGCUUAUUUACUGCACUCUGACUGACUGUGGAGACCCUUGUGGUGUCUCCUAAUGUGGGGAAUCUGACGUAUAUUCUGUGGUAGUGUGAGUGUGUGUGUGUGUGUGUGUGUG
This is a small nuclear RNA of Onychomys torridus (southern grasshopper mouse), 164 nucleotides long. RefSeq annotates it as U1 spliceosomal RNA. The transcript has a single exon. Lineage: Eukaryota; Metazoa; Chordata; Mammalia; Rodentia; Cricetidae. The record is from RefSeq and is a predicted model, not a curated record.